RNA transcript from Pongo pygmaeus (Bornean orangutan), 2562 nucleotides. It is a transcript of the gene named chromosome 3 C4orf33 homolog, with no coding region annotated. Lineage: Eukaryota; Metazoa; Chordata; Mammalia; Primates; Hominidae. The transcript is spliced from 7 exons. The record is from RefSeq and is a predicted model, not a curated record.
UGCCCCGGACCACUCCUUGGAGACGGUGACGCCGCUUGCGUCAUCACGCGGGCGUUGGAGCUUACGCCAUCGCGCGUCCUAGAGUCCUAGCACGCUAUUGGCUGGCUGUCAAGCAAUGGGAGGAGUCGUGAGAACCUGGAUGACAGCGGGCUGAGCCACCGGCUUGGCGCGGCGGCCAAACAGGUGGGACAGUGUCUCCAGGUGGUGAGGCCCAACCUCUUAAAACAAACAAACAAAAACCAAAAUGCAAACGUGAGUAGGGAAUGAAAUACACAGUUUAAAUGCCCUCACUAUCUUCGGGUUACUAAUAUACUAAGCCUUUCUGGACUAAGUAAAGGAUGCAGCUUCCUGCGGCUAGGGGUAGAAGCCAGACUGGCGUCUUCAGAAUCUCCCACCAAGGCUGUACCUCUGGAAGAGUUGUGGGUUUGGAUUUGGUCAUCCCAAGAAGAGUCUUCAGAUGGAUUUUAAAAUUGAACACACUUGGGAUGGUUUUCCAGUGAAGCACGAGCCAGUAUUUAUCAGGCUGAAUCCAGGUGACAGAGGAGUGAUGAUGGACAUUAGUGCUCCAUUUUUCAAUGAUCCUCCAGCCCCUCUUGGAGAACCAGGAAAACCUUUCAAUGAACUGUGGGAUUAUGAAGUUGUGGAAGCAUUUUUCUUGAAUGAUAUAACUGAGCAAUAUUUAGAAGUUGAACUUUGUCCCCACGGACAGCAUUUAGUGCUUUUACUUUCUGGAAGAAGAAAUGUGUGGAAACAAGAACUUCCUUUAUCAUUCAGAGUGUCCAGAGGAGAGACAAAAUGGGAAGGCAAAGCUUAUCUCCCUUGGAGUUAUUUUCCACCAAAUGUGACAAAAUUCAAUUCGUUUGCAAUUCAUGGAUCAGAAGAUAAACGAAGUUAUGAAGCUCUUUACCCUGUACCUCAGCAUGAACUGCAACAAGGACAAAAACCUGAUUUAGAUGCCCUACCCAGAAAGGAGGAAUCUACAGAGGCAGUCUGGCUACAGCAGCUUUGCGAAGCUGCGAUGAGCUCUGUCCAGUUUGAACAUCCCAGUGGCUUUGUUUACACUGGGAGGAGAAAACCGCCUAUUCAAGCCUCAGUAAUGGCGCACUCCCUCUCCCUCCACCAAGCUUGAGCAUCCCAGAUCGACUUCAGACUGCUGUGCUGGCAGUGAGAAUUUCAAGCCAGUGGAUCUUAGCUUGCUGGGCUCCGUGGGAGUGGGAUCCGCUGAGCUAGACCACUUGGUUCCCUGGCUUCAGCCUCCUUUCCAGAGGAGUGAAUGGUUCCUUCUCGCUGUGUUCCAGGUGUUGCUGAGCUAACUGUGAAACAACCUCAGGCAGGUCCUUCAGGAGGUUUCCAGAAGAAGGCAUUAUUAUCAUAGGAGACGACAACUCCAUUGUCGCGGGACGUCAGGGACCCUGAAUGGAGGGACCGGCUGGAGCCAUGGCAGAGGAACAUAAAUUGUGAAGAUUUCAUUUUAAUAUGGACAUUUAUCAGUUUCCAAAUAAUACUUUUAUAAUUUCUCAUGUGUGUCUUUACUUUUAUCUGUUAAUCGUGUUAUCUUCGUAAGCUGAGGAUGUACGUCGCCUCAGGACCACUGUGAUAAUUGUGUUAACUGUGCAAAUUGAUUGUCAAACAUGUGUGUUUGAACAAUAUGAAGUCAGUGCACCUUGAAAAAGAACAGAAUAACAGCGAUUUUUAGGGAACAAGGGAAGACAACCAUAAAGUCUGACUGCCUGUGGGGUUGGGCAAAAUGAGCCAUAUUUUUCUACUUGCAGAGAGCCUAUAAACGGAUGUACAAGUAGGAGAAAUAUCACUAAAUUCUUUUCCUAGCAAGGAAUAUUAAUAUUAAUACCCUGGGAAAGGAAUGCAUUCCUGGGGGGAGGUCUAUAAAUGGCCACCCUGGGAGUGUCUGUCUUAUGUGGUUGAGAUAAGGACUGAGAUACACCCUGGGUCUCCUGCAGCAACCUCAGGCUUACUAGCGUGGAGAAAAACUCCGCCCUGGUAAAUCUGUGGUCAGACCAAUUCUCUGCUCUCGAACCCUGUUUUCUGUUGUUCAAGAUGUUUAUCAAGACAAUACAUACGCCGCUGAACAUAGACCCUUAUCAGUAGUUCUGCUUUCUGCCCUUUGAAGCAUGUGAUCUUUGUACCUAUUCUCUGUUCUUACACCCCCUCCCCUUUUGUAACCGUUAAUAAAAAACUUGCUGGUUUGAGGCUCAGGUGGGCAUCACGGUCCUACCUAUAUGUGAUGUCACCCUCAGCAGCCCAGCUGUAAAAUUCCUCUCUUUGUACUUUUUAUUUCUCAGCCGGCUGACACUUAUGGAAAAUAGAAAGAACCUAUGCUGAAAUAUUGGGGGCAGGUUCCCCCAUUACUCUGCAUGUUACUGCCCCUGAAGACCUUCCAGUGGGACAAGAUGUGGAGGUGGAGGACAGUGAUAUUGAUGAUCCUGACCCUGUUUGUGUUUGUGUCUUGGUUUCAUAAAAAAGUUUUAAAAGUAAAAUAAACAAAUAAUAGAAAAAAGCUUGUAGAAUAAGGUUAUAAAGAAAUAAAAUAUUUUUGUACAGCUA